AUGGAGUACUUUACCUAAUUGGAGGGAGGGAGUUAUUCGAUAACUUCCCCCACUCCUUAUUUCACGUUAGUGGAGAGAGGGAGUUAUUUGAUAACUUCACCUACCUCCCUCAUCUUUUAGAAAGAGAAAUUUCGUGAAGAAGUUUUUCUUAGGCUACAAGGAACUGUCUCAAGAAAAAUAGAAGUCUCUCUUUUCCCUUCACCAAACAAAAAUCAUAGAAGGCCACACCUCUUUGUGAUUCUCAACUUGAUAAUAACAAGGAAGACUCCACUAGUAGGGUUCUUGCAACUGGAUACUGAUUCGAAAUUUUUUUGACUUUGAUUGAAGAAUGUUCGUAAUCCAAAGGAGAGGAAUUUCGUGAAGAAGGAAAAUUCUACGAGCAUUAUUUUUCUUUUCUUUCUCUUUAGAAAAUCAUGCUAAUAGGUUUAAAAUGUUUAUCCUAUUUUAUUGUCUUUUUUUGUUCUCUAUAAUUUGUGGCUUACAAAAUUGGAUUCCAACUACACGACAUUCACGUGCUACAUGUAAUACCCGUAUCUUCUAUCCCAUUUGCUUGCUAGAAAGUUGAGAAGAUAAGCUAAGUGUUUUUCCAAGAGUCUUGGACUAAGUCAAGGAUCUCAUGAUAGCAUCUCAGGGCGAAUUGAAGUAAAGCAAGUGCCCAAAGGUGGUAUAUCGGGACGGAGGUGUUAAACUUGGUCCUGUUUGACCAAGAAAAAGGUAGAGAAAGACAUAAGUGAGAAUCUUGGGCCAGCCUUGAGAAAUCUCGAAGGAGAUGGAAAAUAGAGAAUAAAUCUAGGUGCUAAGACAGAAGCAUCUUGGCGCUUAUUGACCGAGUCAAAAGGCAGAAGGGUUUUAAAGAUGUGUUCUCAAGCCAUCUCGAGACUGUGGUAGAUUAAGAAAAGUGAAGAUCUCAGUGGAUCUUGGACUGGUCGCAAUCAAGAUCACUUAAAUAUGCAUGACAGAUAGAUAUCCAGAAAUUCUUAUUGCUUGAGGUUAGCAUUUUUUGGAUGCAAUAAGACAUUUUUAAGUAUAGAAGACCUUCAUUUUUCUCAUUUCUCACCAUUUUCGCUUCAAGAAAAAAGUAUAGAGAAGAAGUAAAGAGGAGUUGCAAUUUACUUGCAAGUGUUGGAGUUAAGCAAGAGGGUAGUUUGGCCAAGCUUCAGUUAGGGGCGUUCAAUCAAGAGACAUCCAAGAAAUUAAAGGUGUUGGCGAGUUUGAGCUAAAGAAGAAGAGUAGAACUUGAGGUUAGACCCAACUAAGUUUAAGUUUAUCCUUAUUUGUUUAAGAAGUUUAAGAGAAAGUUUCUUAAGUUAGGGCUUGUCGUUUUAGGCUCCAAAUCAGUUGGGAGCUCAUGUGAAGUUAGGGCAAACUUGAAGAAUCAAACUUGUGCAAGCUAAGACCACCGAAAGAGUUCAAAGAAGUCGAGAGGAACCUGUAAUUCUUGUGACGCAAGCACAUCAAGCUUUUACCUAGAUGACCCAUAAAAUGGUAGCAGUUGGAAAGUUGGUGCAAGUUGUUCAGAAUAAACGUAUAUGGGACGUGCCAGAAGUGGACAAUGUUGAGAAUGAGGACCUGAAUGUACUAGAAAUUAUUGUCAGCCAUCUAGUAGAGGAGCACAUCAAGAAUGACACUCUGUGCAGGACUGACGUUGGUCCCACAAUCGUUGAAAGGCCGGUUGUGUGUUAUGCCACUGACGACCUCAUCGACAAUGUGGAUGAACGCUUGUCACAUGCAAGCGAAACAAGCGACGACGACAAAUUAUAGUGACGAACCACCUACCCACAUAUUUAUGUAGUUUAUAUAUUUCGAUUCUAGCUAUGUGUUCAUAUUUGUUUAUUGAAUGUUUGUUUUCUAUGUCAACAGGCAUUAUGUCAUUCCCAUGCACUAGUUUCCUCAAGACGGAUGCUAUGUUCCUCGAGUUUGCAGACGAUUUAGAUAACCUUGCGGAAGGGUCGUCGUCCGUGGGCAAUAAUUCGAGAGACGUGUGCAGUCUCGACUCUUAGAGUUGGAGUGCUAUGUUGCAGCCAAUGGUCAGAUUCCGAUGACGGUCGCCCUUGGUGCGAAGAAGCCUAUUUCUCCACACACCAUUCGCUUCAGCCAAACGAUAGGCUUGUGUGUCCGAAAGACAUUUCUCGUCUGCUGCCUUAACUGGGCAGACGUAGGCAGAGAAUACAUCGAGGUCGUCAAGGGCGAACUCCAGGUAAGUCCACUACACAUUUAUAAAUUCAUUUGAAACAUAUUUAAGUUAACCAAGCUAAUGUGUUGUUUUCGUAAUGUGUAGCGGUAUUUUGUGUUUGAUUUCAAUGAUCAAGUAAUGAAUAGGUUCGUUGAGCAUCGAUGCUCACCAUCUUUAAAGAGUUUUAGGGAGAAUGUCAAAGACACUUCAAAAAGUAUAGCGACCCUGAGGAGACUCGUGCCAACCCACCACACCUAUUGGUGGGACGUGAUGAGGAUUAGCACUUCUUCUGUGACCACUACAUGAAUCGUGCAUUCCAGGAGCAAUCAUAGAUGAACAAGGGUGCUAGACAAAAACAACCUUAUAAUCAUAGUAGCAGGUCAAAGUCGUUUCUACAACAAUAGCACGAGCUCUCUGAGCAAAGAGGGGAGCCAGUCGAUCAUGAGGAGUUGUUCUGACAAACACAUAUUCCAUACGGGACGUUCGUGUCCCAGACUGUGGAGGAUGCACAUAACUCCAGUCCCAGCCUACCCCAGAGUUGGGUAGACAACCGGGCUACUCAAAAGGCCUUGGUUGGGAAUCCAAGCCGAAGGCCCGUAAGACGCGAGUGCGAGCAGUUCCACGACGUCAUGUCUGCAAUCCAUAGUAUAGCUUCAAUUACAGGCUAAGCUUGAUCAAGUUAUGCAACGGAUUGAAGAGUAGGUAAGAAAUCACGAAGCGUUAGUUUCAGAAGUGGAACGAAUGCGGAAGCUGAUAGAAGGCAUGACUCGGGCACAACAAGAACCACCACAUGAUGAUCCCUAGCUUUUGCGGACCCGCAGUAUAGAAUGAUGUACGAGGCUCGUUAGUAGAUGUAGGGGCACAGCGAGGGGCAGACCGACGAGAGGCAGGAAGGAUGCGUGAAGGCCAUAUGGACGCGUCUGGUUUUCUUAUCGCUUCCGCUAUGUAUUUUGUCUGAAUAUUUUGACUUGUGAUUUUGAACUGGUGCCUUGAUAUUUUUAUUUUGUGACUUUCUUGAUUUAUUUAAAAUAGGGCCCGAAACUGUCUUUUGUAAGGUUUCUAAUGUUUUAAUGAAUCGUAACUGGUCUGUUUUAAAUUUUAUGUUGAAUGGUCGAGUUUUGGUAUUUGGUAGUGACCUCAGCUUAGUCCGGAAAGUUGGGUCGUUACAGUUGGUAUCAGAGCCUAAGUUUUAGGUUCUGUAGACUGACUUAUAAUGUGAGUCUGUGUUUUGUGUCCUUAUGGCUGAAACGAUCCUUGCCGCUCGUCAGGUACGCUCUCAUGAAAGUAUAUGUAUAACUCUACAUGCAUUACCUUACCUAAGUUAAACUGCAAAUUCAAUUACCAUUUAUGACUAAAGGAAUCGUUUGGUG
Long non-coding RNA from Cucumis melo (muskmelon), 3543 nucleotides. RefSeq lists it as uncharacterized. NCBI's taxonomy places the organism in Eukaryota, Viridiplantae, Streptophyta, Magnoliopsida, Cucurbitales, Cucurbitaceae. The transcript is spliced from 7 exons. The record is from RefSeq and is a predicted model, not a curated record.